AUUGAACGCUGGCGGCAUGCCUUACACAUGCAAGUCGAACAGUAACAGGGUGCUUGCACCGCUGACGAGUGGCGAACGGGUGAGUAAUGCGUCGGACGUGCCGAGUAGUGGGGGAUAACGCAGCGAAAGUUGUGCUAAUACCGCAUACGUACUGAGGUAGAAAGUGGGGGACCUUCGGGCCUCACGCUAUUCGAGCGGCCGACGUCUGAUUAGCUAGUAGGUGAGGUAAAGGCUCACCUAGGCGACGAUCAGUAGCGGGUCUGAGAGGAUGAUCCGCCAAACUGGGACUGAGACACGGCCCAGACUCCUACGGGAGGCAGCAGUGGGGAAUUUUGGACAAUGGGCGAAAGCCUGAUCCAGCCAUGCCGCGUGUCUGAAGAAGGCCUUCGGGUUGUAAAGGACUUUUGUCGGGGAGGAAAUCCCCAGCGUUAAUACCGCUGGGGAAUGACAGUACCUGAAGAAUAAGCACCGGCUAACUACGUGCCAGCAGCCGCCGUAA
This 499-nucleotide ribosomal RNA is filed under the name uncultured bacterium. RNAcentral describes it as "partial 16S ribosomal RNA". It matches the Rfam family "Bacterial small subunit ribosomal RNA", at positions 30 to 523 of the family's 1533-position model. The record is from RNAcentral.